This 424-nucleotide long non-coding RNA is filed under the name Populus trichocarpa (black cottonwood). RNAcentral describes it as "long non-coding RNA (PTRI_LNC003526)". Lineage: Eukaryota; Viridiplantae; Streptophyta; Magnoliopsida; Malpighiales; Salicaceae. The record is from RNAcentral.
AAAUUCUCCACCACCAACUUCGGUGUUCCUGUCUCCAAAUCAGCCAUGCUUCCUUCCUUUCCACCACCAUCUUGCUGCCUCUCCACUUAGCAGUAGCAGCCCUUCAUUCAACCCAAAAAAUAGCUCCAUACCUCUCAUUGUUUUUCCAACUGCUCAGCUCUCCCUAACAAAACCUUGCAACAGCCACACAAACCAUCACAAAACAGCCCCAAAGCUGCCCCGAAACAGCCCCAAAUCGCCAUCCACUGCAGCGCCUCACUCCUUCAUUUUUCACCCUCCAAACCAGACCAAUCUCAGCCAUUAAAAUACCAUCCAAACAACCACUUUCCAUACCAGAAAAAUCCAUGGCAGCCACCCCUUCAUUCCAGUAAAAAAACCCAGGAAAAAGAGAGAGGAACGAGUGAGAAAGGGAAGAAAAACCGAG